GUUGUCUAUGAUGUUUUACCCAUAUUAUUCGAGUUUCAAUGACCAUGAGACCACUUACAUGCACUACCAUCUGAGACAUC
This is a small nucleolar RNA of Epinephelus moara (kelp grouper), 80 nucleotides long. The record is from RefSeq and is a predicted model, not a curated record. Lineage: Eukaryota; Metazoa; Chordata; Actinopteri; Perciformes; Serranidae.